This 491-nucleotide ribosomal RNA is filed under the name uncultured bacterium. RNAcentral describes it as "partial 16S ribosomal RNA". It matches the Rfam family "Bacterial small subunit ribosomal RNA", at positions 29 to 507 of the family's 1533-position model. The record is from RNAcentral.
AGUGAACGCUGGCGGUAGGCCUAACACAUGCAAGUCGAACGGCAGCACAGUAAGAGCUUCCCUUAAGGGGGGCGAGUGGCGGGAGGGUGGGGGAUAACUCGGGAUCUAACUUUUCGGGGGGGGUAACGUUAGGGAAAUUUAGCCAAAUACCCAAAAGGCCUACCGGGGGAAAGAGGGGGUCUUCGGACCUUUCGCCGAUGGAUUAACCGAUGUCGGAUUAGCUAGUUGGCGGGGUAAAGGCCCACCAAGGCGACGAUCCGUAGCUGGUCUGAGAGGAUGAUCAGCCACACUGGAACUGAGACACGGUCCAGACUCCUACGGGAGGCAGCAGUGGGGAAUAUUGGACAAUGGGCGCAAGCCUGAUCCAGCCAUACCGCGUGGGUGAAGAAGGCCUUCGGGUUGUAAAGCCCUUUUGUUGGGAAAGAAAAGCAGCAGGUUAAUACCCCGCUGUUCUGACGGUACCCAAAGAAUAAGCACCGGCUAACUUCGUG